AGUGCGACUGAAAAGGGAUGAGCCCAGCGCAUAAGCCCAGUUCUCCGAACGCUCAAAUGGGCGGUGUUGCGUUUCAGAGCGUUGAAGGUUGUUGGAUCCCUGCACCGUCUAAAUUGCAUGUUGGAAGAAGUUACAUAUCCCCACAGAUGGUGAAAGGCCAGUAAGGCGGAACGUCUUGGAUGACGCUUGGGAACCAAAGACUAACAGCGCUCUGUAGAGUCGGGUUGCUUUGCAUAGCAGCCUAAAGAAGGUGGUAAACUCCAUCUAAGGCUAAAUACGACCAUGAGACCGAUAGUGGACAAGUACCGUGAGGGAAAGUUGAAAAGGACUUUGAAGAGAGAGUUCAAUAGCACGUGAAACUGUUGUGAGCCUAAACGGGUGGAACAUAGAAGAUCGAAAAGAGGGGAUUUCCGUUGUCCCUUUACUGGCCACGGUAGCGGGUUUAAGGAUGUCAAAGUCCGUUCCUGUAGCGCGCCUCUCGCAGGUUGGAAGGGACGUCGCCUCGGCGGCGGCCGGACCGUCUCUGCGAUGCGCGAGCGGGCCCUACUGUGGYGCCAGUGCCCUAUUGUACCUACUGUCUUUGGGACUCGUUGAGGGAAGCGGUAUCCUCCUCUAAGUAGAUCACUGCAACCAGUCAAAGGGGAGACAGUCGCCGCAAGGCGAAGAGGGUCGGUGUUACAGGCAGCCCCGUCGGCGCGCCGCGGCUUCCCUCGUGGUUCGCCGUCCCAGGAGCGCCGGCGGGUGAUCCCUGCCCGGCAUACAUAGUCUCUCCCGCUGAGCAAUAGCGCGGAGAGAGGUAUCCCAGUCUCCCUUUAGCUGUUGAGUCCGGAUGCCUCACGGCGUCCUUGCAGUGUUACAAUUGUCGGUUGUCUACCCGACCCGUCUUGAAACACGGACCAAGGAGUCUAGCAUGUGUGCAAGUCAUUGGAUUGCUCAAAUCUAAAGGCGCAAUGAAGGUGAGAGUACUGCCGCAGCGGCUGCUGCUGCUGCUCUCGUAGUAGCCAGCCAGCCAGUCGCUGCUGCUGUUUUACCAUGGGCAGAUCCCUUAGGCGGUCCGCCGCUGCCCGCGGGCCGCGUGUUGGAGGUGGCGGGUGGGUGAGCCAUUUUCCCCGCCCGUCUCACUCUCCGGCCCCUCGCGGUGUCUCAGGGGCGGGCCGGCCGACCAUAACUACUCCUGUGAGAGGGGGCGCAGGCCCGGGACUUGUCAAUACGGCACACGCCUCCUCCUCCCUUCCGGGCGAUAAAGGCAUGAUCCAGUUGACUGGGUGUAGUCCCAAGUUUCGGAGGGAUGCUUGGGGAGGGCCGUGUAGUCGACAAGUACCUUGAGCAUACAUGUUAGUACCCGAAAGAUGGUGAACUAUGCCUGGCCAGGAUGAAGCCAGAGGAAACUCUGGUGGAGGUCCGAAGCGGCUCUGACGUGCAAAUCGAUCGUCUGAGUUGGGUAUAGGGGCGAAAGACCAAUCGAACCAUCUAGUAGCUGGUUCCCCCCGAAGUUUCCCUUAGGAUAGCUGGUGCUCAGGGAGUGAUUUACAUCCGGUAAAGAGAAUGAUUGGAGGAAUUGGGGGUGUAAUGCCCUCAAACUACUCUCAAACUUUAAAUGGGUGAGAUGCCAUGCUUGCUUGACCAGUGAAGCAUCGGCGAUAAAUCAGAGUACCAAGUGGGCCAAUUUUGGUAAGCAGAACUGGCGCUGUGGGAUGCACCAAAAGUGUGAGUUAAGGGGCCUGACUGAAAGCUAAGUGGUACCAUAAAAGGUGUCGGUUGCUAUAGACAGCAGGGCGGUGGCCAUGGAAGUUGGAAUCCGCUAAGGAGUGUGUAACAACUCACCUGCCGAAGCAACCUGCCCUGAAAAUGGAAUGGCACUAAAGCAUUCAAUAUGCCCGAUACUCAACCGCCAGAACAGAUACAAUGGCACUAUGACAAGAGGUGGWCGGCUCGCCGCCACUAAUCUUGUUCGAAGCCCUGGCGGGUAGGGGGGCGUGGCGGUAAGCGCUGAAGGGCAGAGCGUGAGCUUGCCUGGAGCUGCCGCUAGUGCAGAUCUUGGUGGUAGUAGCAAACACAGUCUAGAGGGUUGUUCCUGGAGGUCCGCUGGGAGGAAGGGUUCCAUGUCUACACCGAAUGGGCAUGGGUUAGUCAGUCCUGAACCCAAGUCUAAAUAGACUUAUAUUACACAAGGGAUCCUUGUGGACGUAAGAUUGCUGCUGCUGAGGAGGAGGAGGAGGAUGAUGGUCCUAUGGGCGUCUAUCCAUCCAUCCAUC
This 2255-nucleotide ribosomal RNA is filed under the name Pachycheles pilosus. RNAcentral describes it as "eukaryotic LSU rRNA". It matches the Rfam family "Eukaryotic large subunit ribosomal RNA", at positions 86 to 1591 of the family's 3401-position model. The record is from RNAcentral. Lineage: Eukaryota; Metazoa; Arthropoda; Malacostraca; Decapoda; Porcellanidae.